UGUGCACAGGACCUGAGGUGAAGCCCUAGCCAGGGACCUGCCCUUCUCUACCCAGCGCUUUCCUUCUCUCAUCCCGAGUCAGUACUGCUGGGUCAUUGGCCUUAUCCCGCACCGAAGUUGAAACUUACACCAUCUGUUCACAUCAUCAGUUCUUCUGGUUCUCAUGCUUUUGAACUUCAACUGGCACAAUUCCACUGGCUCUCCUUAGUCUCCAGGUUGCAGAUGGCAGAUUAUAAAUCUCCUUAGCCUCCACCUUUAUAAUCCUAACUAUUACUGACACCUCUUUGAGGACAAAGGAAGUAGCUUUCUGCAAGCCAAAAAGACCUCAGAAAAACAACAAAUCUUCCAAACUCUUGAUUUUGACUUUUUGCCUCCAGAAUUGUGAAGAAAUAAAUAUCUGUUAUUUAAGUAGGCUAGUGUCUGGUAUUAUGUUAUGGCAGCCCUAGUAAACUAAUAUAGGUGUUCAUAACCAUAGGAAUAAACAAAGGAGCCAGACCUGGGUAGCACACAAACGACUUGAAAGAACGUGGAGUGAGUAGUAAGUGACUUUCCCAGGCCAUAGUAGGGCCCUUCUUCUCUUUCAAUCAUAUAAUUAGUUUUUCAGGCAUUGUUAGCGAGCUACAUGAAUAAGUAGACCCAGCAGACAUUCAUUCUUGAGACUGUAUUCCCCCAAAAGACUGAAUAUAUGGGCAGCAAACCUCAAUGAAGAGAAUAUUGAAAUAAGGCUACUCCUAUCUGUUCCACACAUCACACAUAUUGUGUUGGUUUCUAUUGCUCACCAAUUAGUUAAAACUUCAUGGACUAAGAUAAU
RNAcentral lists this long non-coding RNA (811 nucleotides) under Homo sapiens (human). RNAcentral's name for it is "HSALNT0312715". Lineage: Eukaryota; Metazoa; Chordata; Mammalia; Primates; Hominidae. The record is from RNAcentral.